RNAcentral lists this ribosomal RNA (409 nucleotides) under bacterium. Its description in RNAcentral is "partial 16S ribosomal RNA". It matches the Rfam family "Bacterial small subunit ribosomal RNA", at positions 355 to 776 of the family's 1533-position model. The record is from RNAcentral.
UGGGGAAUAUUGCACAAUGGGCGAAAGCCUGAUGCAGCGACGCCGCGUGAGGGAUGACGGCCUUCGGGUUGUAAACCUCUUUCAGUAGGGACGAAGCGCAAGUGACGGUACCUGCAGAAGAAGCACCGGCUAACUACGUGCCAGCAGCCGCGGUAAUACGUAGGGUGCGCGCGUUGUCCGGAAUUACUGGGCGUAAAGAGCUCGUAGGCGGUUUGUCACGUCGUCUGUGAAAUCCUAGGGCUUAACCCUGGACGUGCAGGCGAUACGGGCUGACUUGAGUACUACAGGGGAGACUGGAAUUUCUGGUGUAGCGGUUGAAUGCACAGAUAUCAGGAAGGACACCGAUGGCGAAGGCAGGUCUCUGGGUAGUAACUGACGCUGAGGAGCGAAAGCAUAGGUAGCGAACAGG